This 471-nucleotide ribosomal RNA is filed under the name fungal endophyte. RNAcentral's name for it is "eukaryotic LSU rRNA". The stretch from base 137 to 290 matches the Rfam family "5.8S ribosomal RNA". Lineage: Eukaryota; Fungi. RNAcentral also lists the same sequence under 1 other name. The record is from RNAcentral.
GUGUAUUCCAUGUUUGUGUUGCUUUGGCAGGCCGUGGGCUUCGCCCACCACCGGCCUUCGGGGUGGUGCGCGCCUGCCAGAGGACUCUUUAAACUCUGUUUGUUAGUGUCGUCUGAGUAUGAUAAACAAUCGUUAAAACUUUCAACAACGGAUCUCUUGGUUCUGGCAUCGAUGAAGAACGCAGCGAAAUGCGAUAAGUAAUGUGAAUUGCAGAAUUCAGUGAAUCAUCGAAUCUUUGAACGCACAUUGCGCCCCUUGGUAUUCCGAGGGGCAUGCCUGUUCGAGCGUCAUUUCAACCCCUCAAGCCUUAGCUUGGUGUUGGGCCGUGCCACCGCCCUCGCGGCGCCGGCAGGCCUUAAAAUCAGUGGCGGUGCCCGCUGUGGUUCCAAGCGUAGUAAUCUCUCUCGCUCUGGAGACCUGGCGGCGGCUUGCCAGACAACCCCAUCUUCUCAAAAGUUUGACCUCGGAUCA